This 389-nucleotide unclassified non-coding RNA is filed under the name Hevea brasiliensis (rubber tree). The record is from RNAcentral. Lineage: Eukaryota; Viridiplantae; Streptophyta; Magnoliopsida; Malpighiales; Euphorbiaceae.
UAGGCAUUUUGUGUGGGCAAGAAAAUUUUUUUUUUCCUGGGUUUCGGUUUCUAUUUGGGUAUGAAUUGAGUAAUAAACUCUGAGAGAUCAUCCCAUUUUAUAGCCAGAAAUCUCCUUUGGCAAGCAUCAAGUUUACAGUGUACUCAAUAAAAGUAUAAAUUCUAUUCUUUGCUUAUUCUAAAAAUGAAUUUAAGCAUAUUCUAAGCGUUUGGAGUGUAAAAUGGUGCUAACAUUAAUUCUAUAUUCUCCCAACAUUAAUAUAUUUAUCAAUAACAGAUUACAUUCCAAACACUUAGAAUAUAGAAUGAGUGUGAAGAUGGGAGAAUAUAGAAUAGCUAUUGUAGAAAUAGUACUAUAUCAGCAAUCAAAUAUUAUUUCUUACAUUACUA